Molecule: ribosomal RNA, 450 nt
Filed under: uncultured bacterium
Lineage: Bacteria
Description: partial 16S ribosomal RNA
Rfam family: Bacterial small subunit ribosomal RNA
Source: RNAcentral
GUGGGGAAUCUUCCGCAAUGGACGAAAGUCUGACGGAGCAACGCCGCGUGAGUGAUGAAGGUCUUCGGAUUGUAAAGCUCUGUUAAUCGGGACGAAAGAGCCUAGUGUGAAUAAUGCUAGGAAGUGACGGUACCGGAAUAGAAAGCCACGGCUAACUACGUGCCAGCAGCCGCGGUAAUACGUAGGUGGCAAGUGUUGUCCGGAAUUAUUGGGCGUAAAGCGCGCGCAGGCGGAUCUGCCAGUCUGUCUUAAAAGUUCGGGGCUUAACCCCGUGAUGGGAUGGAAACUACAGAUCUAGAGUAUCGGAGAGGAAAGUGGAAUUCCUAGUGUAGCGGUGAAAUGCGUAGAUAUUAGGAAGAACACCAGUGGCGAAGGCGACUUUCUGGACGAAAACUGACGCUGAGGCGCGAAAGCCAGGGGAGCGAACGGGAUUAGAAACCCCUGUAGUCC